GCUCAGGAUGAACGCUAGCGGCAGGCUUAACACAUGCAAGUCGAGGGGUAGAGGCCUUCGGGCCUUGAGACCGGCGCACGGGUGCGUAACGCGUAUGCAAUCUGCCUUCCACAGAGGGAUAGCCCAGAGAAAUUUGGAUUAAUACCUCAUAGCAUCAUGACCCGGCAUCGGGAUAUGAUUAAAGUCACAACGGUGGAAGAUGAGCAUGCGUCCCAUUAGCUAGUUGGUAAGGUAAUGGCUUACCAAGGCUACGAUGGGUAGGGGUCCUGAGAGGGAGAUCCCCCACACUGGUACUGAGACACGGACCAGACUCCUACGGGAGGCAGCAGUGAGGAAUAUUGGUCAAUGGGCGCAAGCCUGAACCAGCCAUGCCGCGUGCAGGAUGACGGUCCUAUGGAUUGUAAACUGCUUUUGUACGGGAAGAAACCCUCCUACGUGUAGGAGCUUGACGGUACCGUAAGAAUAAGGAUCGGCUAACUCCGUGCCAGCAGCCGCGGUAAUACGGAGGAUCCAAGCGUUAUCCGGAAUCAUUGGGUUUAAAGGGUCUGUAGGCGGUCUUGUAAGUCAGUGGUGAAAGCCCAUCGCUCAACGGUGGAACGGCCAUUGAUACUGCUGGACUUGAAUUAUUGGGAAGCAACUAGAAUAUGUAGUGUAGCGGUGAAAUGCUUAGAGAUUACAUGGAAUACCAAUUGCGAAGGCAGGUUGCUACCAAUGGAUUGACGCUGAUGGACGAAAGCGUGGGUAGCGAACAGGAUUAGAUACCCUGGUAGUCCACGCCGUAAACGAUGGAUACUAGCUGUUGGGCGCAAGUUCAGUGGCUAAGCGAAAGUGAUAAGUAUCCC
This 842-nucleotide ribosomal RNA is filed under the name Flavobacterium sp. GUAF 6004. Its description in RNAcentral is "bacterial SSU rRNA". It matches the Rfam family "Bacterial small subunit ribosomal RNA", at positions 22 to 870 of the family's 1533-position model. The record is from RNAcentral. Lineage: Bacteria; Pseudomonadati; Bacteroidota; Flavobacteriia; Flavobacteriales; Flavobacteriaceae.